This 492-nucleotide ribosomal RNA is filed under the name uncultured bacterium. RNAcentral's name for it is "partial 16S ribosomal RNA". It matches the Rfam family "Bacterial small subunit ribosomal RNA", at positions 29 to 507 of the family's 1533-position model. The record is from RNAcentral.
AGUGAACGCUGGCGGUAGGCCUAACACAUGCCAGUCGAACGGCAGCACAGUAAGAGCUUGCUCUUACGGGUGGCGAGUGGCGGACGGGUGAGGAAUACAUCGGAAUCUACUUUUUCGUGGGGGAUAACGUAGGGAAACUUACGCUAAUACCGCAUACGACCUACGGGUGAAAGCAGGGGAUCUUCGGACCUUGCGCGAUUGAAUGAGCCGAUGUCGGAUUAGCUAGUUGGCGGGGUAAAGGCCCACCAAGGCGACGAUCCGUAGCUGGUCUGAGAGGAUGAUCAGCCACACUGGAUCUGAGACACGGUCCAGACUCCUACGGGAGGCAGCAGUGGGGAAUAUUGGACAAUGGGCGCAAGCCUGAUCCAGCCAUACCGCGUGGGUGAAGAAGGCCUUCGGGUUGUAAAGCCCUUUUGUUGGGAAAGAAAAGCAGCAGGUUAAUACCCCGCUGUUCUGACGGUACCCAAAGAAUAAGCACCGGCUAACUUCGUG